ACUUAAUUAAAAUUUAAAGUUAAAGUAGUAAUUGUUAUGUUCAUGAAAUUUAAAGAUUUUGGCGGUAUUUUAUUCUAUUCAGAGGAAUCUGUCCUAUAAUUGAUAUUCCACGAUUAAAUAAACUUUUAUUAGAAAUUUGUAUAUCAUCGUAAAUUGAAUAUUUUAAGAGAAAUUAAUAUUCAAAAUAUAAUAUUAUAUAAAAAAUCAGAUCAUGGUGCAAUUUAUAUAAAAGUAGAGAUGGAUUACAUUAAAUUUAUUUUUAGAUUUAAAAUUUUAAAUUUUAAUGAAAUUGGAUUUGAAAGUAAUUAUUUAUAUAUUUAAAUAAUGAUUUAGUUCUAAAAUAUGU
RNAcentral lists this ribosomal RNA (346 nucleotides) under Foadia sp. CO608. Its description in RNAcentral is "partial 12S ribosomal RNA". Lineage: Eukaryota; Metazoa; Arthropoda; Insecta; Coleoptera; Corylophidae. The record is from RNAcentral.